GAUUACAGCCAUAUCACCCUGCAGCCUAAGACCAGUAUUCACUGAAGCUAAGCAGGGCUGAGCCUGGUCAGUACCUGGAUGGGAGACUGCAUGGGAAAACUAGGCUGCUGUUGGAA
Danio rerio (zebrafish) is the source of this 116-nucleotide ribosomal RNA. The record is from Ensembl. NCBI's taxonomy places the organism in Eukaryota, Metazoa, Chordata, Actinopteri, Cypriniformes, Danionidae.